Long non-coding RNA from Schistocerca nitens (vagrant locust), 279 nucleotides. RefSeq lists it as uncharacterized. The record is from RefSeq and is a predicted model, not a curated record. NCBI's taxonomy places the organism in Eukaryota, Metazoa, Arthropoda, Insecta, Orthoptera, Acrididae. The transcript is spliced from 3 exons.
GUGAGAGGGUCUUCUCAAAAACGGGACAUUUAAUAAAUGACAGAAGAACCCGCCUCAAGCCAUCGAAUAUAGAAAAACUAAUAUUUCUGAAUGCCAAUGGUACCUGUGAUUAGUGCUGAAAAUUCUGGAACCGUGUGAGGUUUCCUUCCAUGGAGGUAACUAGGCACUUUCAACACAAGCAAACAAGACCACACAACUGUAUGAUGCCUAGCAAAAUGUAAAAUAUGUAACUGGGCACAUUCAACACAAGCAAACAAGACCACACAACUGUAUGAUGCC